GGGGCUGACAUGGCUUUGACAGCGUGUUGAGGUGGUAAGUAAGCAUGCAGAGUGACGGUGCCUGUGCUCUUUAAAUCCAUGACAUCCUAAAUUUUAACUGGCGAGAAUAACUACGCUCUUGCUGCUUGAUCGAAGCACAGUAGAUCAGCUUAAUCUCUGCCCAAGGAUGGUAGAGACAAGACAUCACCCAGCGGCCCUUGCUCCGAGGCUUGUUGAAACGGUGGUGCUAGCAUAUCGGGGAUAGAGAGUGACAUGUCUCGUGUCAUUCUCGAGAUUUAGAGACUAAGCCGAGGGUUGGUGGUCUUGAGCCUGCCCCAGGUCGAAAAUCAAGUCAACGACUAAGCAUGUAGAAAGCUUAUUAGUUCCACGUUUGGACGAGGGUUCAACCCCCUCCAGCUCCACA
This 403-nucleotide transfer-messenger RNA is filed under the name bovine gut metagenome. It matches the Rfam family "transfer-messenger RNA". Rfam says of the family: Bacterial tmRNA, also known as 10Sa RNA or SsrA, is named for its dual tRNA and mRNA-like properties. The record is from RNAcentral.